AUUGAACGCUGGCGGCAGGCCUAACACAUGCCAGUCGAACGGUAACAGGAAGCAGCUUGCUGCUUUGCUGACGAGUGGCGGACGGGUGAGUAAUGUCUGGGAAACUGCCUGAUGGAGGGGGAUAACUACUGGAAACGGUAGCUAAUACCGCAUAACGUCGCAAGACCAAAGAGGGGGACCUUCUGGCCUCUUGCCAUCGGAUGUGCCCAGAUGGGAUUAGCUAGUAGGUGGGGUAACGGCUCACCUAGGCGACGAUCCCUAGCUGGUCUGAGAGGAUGACCAGCCACACUGGAACUGAGACACGGUCCAGACUCCUACGGGAGGCAGCAGUGGGGAAUAUUGCACAAUGGGCGCAAGCCUGAUGCAGCCAUGCCGCGUGUAUGAAGAAGGCCUUCGGGUUGUAAAGUACUUUUGGCGGGGAGGAAGGGAGUAAAGUUAAUACCUUUGCGCAUUGACGUUACCCGAAGAAGAAGCACCGGCUAACUCCGUG
RNAcentral lists this ribosomal RNA (490 nucleotides) under uncultured bacterium. RNAcentral describes it as "partial 16S ribosomal RNA". It matches the Rfam family "Bacterial small subunit ribosomal RNA", at positions 30 to 507 of the family's 1533-position model. The record is from RNAcentral.